This 401-nucleotide ribosomal RNA is filed under the name uncultured bacterium. Its description in RNAcentral is "bacterial SSU rRNA". It matches the Rfam family "Bacterial small subunit ribosomal RNA", at positions 356 to 774 of the family's 1533-position model. The record is from RNAcentral.
CGGGAAUUUUGGGCAAUGGGCGAAAGCCUGACCCAGCAACGCCGCGUGCGGGAUGAAGUGUUUCGGUAUGUAAACCUCGAAAGAAUGGGAAGAAUAAAUGACGGUACCAUUUAUAAGCUCCGGCUAACUACGUGCCAGCAGCUGCGGUAAUACGUAGGGAGCAAGCGUUGUUCGGAUUUACUGGGCGUAAAGGGCGCGUAGGCGGCGCGGUAAGUCACUUGUGAAAUCCCUGAGCUUAACUCAGAACGGCCAAGUGAUACUGCUGUGCCAGAGUGCGGAAGAGGCAACCGGAAUUCUUGGUGUAGCGGUGAAAUGCGUAGAUAUCAAGAGGAACACCUGAGGCGAAGGCGGGUUGCUGGGCCGACACUGACGCUGAUGCGCGAAAGCCAGGGGAGCAAACG